GGAAAAACCGUGUGGCAAUGGGAAGACGUGAUGCGGAGCGAAAUAAAGUAGCGAAGUCCGUGAGCUGUGCGUCAAGAAAAGCCGCUAUUGUUCAUACCAUACCCGUACCGUAAACCGACACAGGUGGAUGAGGAGAGAAUCCUAAGGCCGGCGGAAGAAGCAUUGUCAAGGAACUCGGCAAAAUGACCCCGUAACUUCGGGAGAAGGGGUGCCUGUGAAAACAGGCCGCAGAGAAUAGGCUCAAGCAACUGUUUAGCAAAAACACAGGUCUAUGCGAAACCGAAAGGUGAGGUAUAUGGGCUGACGCCUGCCCGGUGCUGGAAGGUUAGGAGGAGAGGUUAGCGCAAGCGAAGCUUUGAAUUUAAGCCCCAGUAAACGGCGGCCGUAACGAUAACGGUCCUAAGGUAGCGAAAUUCCUUGUCGGGUAAGUUCCGACCCGCACGAAAGGCGUAAUGAUUUGAGCGCUGUCUCGACAAUGCAUCCGGUGAAAUUGAAGUACCAGUGAAGAUGCUGGUUACCUGCGCCAGGACGGAAAGACCCCAUGGAGCUUUACUCCAGUUUGGUACUGGGAUCCGGUACUGCACGUACAGGAUAGGUGGGAGGCUAUGAAGCGGUAACGCCAGUUGCCGCAGAGCCGCUGUUGGGAUACCACCCUUGCAGUAUUGGGUUUCUAACCAGCCGCCGUGAACCGGCGGUGGGACAAUGCCAGACGGGGAGUUUGACUGGGGCGGUCGCCUCCGAAAGGGUAUCGGAGGCGCCCAAAGGUUCCCUCAGAAUGGACGGAAACCAUUCGAAGAGUGCAUAGGCAGAAGGGAGCUUGACUGCGACACCGACGGGUGGAGCAGGUACGAAAGUAGGGCUUAGUGAUCCGGUGGUAUUAAGUGGGAAUGCCAUCGCUCAACGGAUAAAAGCUACCCUGGAUAACAGGCUUAUCACUCCCAAGAGUUCACAUCGACGGAGUGGUUUGGCACCUCGAUGUCGGCUCAUCGCAUCCUGGGGCUGUAGUAGGUCCCAAGGGUUGGGCUGUUCGCCCAUUAAAGCGGUACGCGAGCUGGGUUCAGAACGUCGUGAGACAGUUCGGUCCCUAUCCGGCGUGGGCGUAGGAUAUCUGAGAGGAGCUGUCCUUAGUACGAGAGGACCGGGAUGGACGGACCGCUGGUGUACCGGUUAGACUGCCAAGUCUACGGCCGGGUAGCCAAGUCCGGAAGGGAUAAACGCUGAAGGCAUCUAAGCGUGAAGCCCCCCUCGAGAUGAGAUAUCCCAUCCGAAAGGAGUAAACCCCCUUGAAGACGACGAGGUCGAUAGGGCAGGGGUGGAAGCACAGUAAUGUGUGGAGCUGACUGCUACUAAUAGGGUGAGGGCUUGACC
Molecule: ribosomal RNA, 1368 nt
Filed under: metagenome
Description: bacterial LSU rRNA
Rfam family: Bacterial large subunit ribosomal RNA
Source: RNAcentral